AUGGAUUACCUGAACAGGAGAUCCAUGGCGAUUGAGAUGAAGGAGACCGAUAAUUUUUCAGUGACGAGCGAACUCUGCGGAGGGAUCAGGAUUGGCUUUCCUUUGGAGAGCUCGCCUGUCGCCACCGAUGCUAGAUGGAGAGAGAUCUGGAACUCAUCUGCGGACGACCCCACAAUGAAGCAGAUCCCCCCAAAAUUUAGAAAGAUGUUCAGGAGUGCGUCAUCUGGUGAGGACAACAGGGACGGUCGGUCUUUGAGUGACAUCGGCAAGGAUUAUGGGAGGCAGGAGCAUGGUGUGCAAGAGACACUUGCCAAGAGGAGCAUUCUAAGCAGCAGAGACUCCUCUAAGCAGAUUGUCCAGGUGUAUGAGGAAGGAAGCAAGUAUCGUGGUAGUCCACAAAUUGAUGAAAACAUAAGGCAAGGUCCUUUGAAAGGAUCACCUGUGGCAUUCAACAUGAGGGGUCCUUCCAAAGGAUCUUCGAUGACAUUCAAAAUCGUCAGCGAAAUCACCAAUGCACGGAGGUUGUCGCCAAGAUUUGCUGGACAAGAGAGGCAUGGGAAAACAAAGCAAUUAGCGUACAGUGCCAACACGGAUUGUAUGGUAGAAGCAGCACAGUCCCUUGGUUGCUCGAGUGCCAGAGAAACAAGGACCAGCAUUGCACAAUCCAACAUUGGAGAGGCAGACUCAUUUAUGGAUUUGGUUGUGGCAUGCAGAAACGAUUCUGCUGCGCGUGACAAACAACAGAGCAGUAGCAGCUCCGCUACGAACGAAGACACGGUGGACAGAAUCAUCAUGGCGCCGCCGACCAUUGUAGAGAAAGAAAUGGAUGACAUGUUUAAAGAUUUCAUAUACCCAACGAUUCAGGAGGUCACCGAAGCGGUCGAACCAGAAGGUGGUAUGGUAUUCGGAUCAUUGGAUGAGUGCUUUUUCUUUUUCUGUAGAUAUGCUAGAAAGGUUGGCUUUGCUGCCAAACGAUCAACGAGCAGAAGAUCGACAUAUGAUCAGCAGCUUGACAAGCAGGUUUUUCAGUGCACCAAGGAAGGGCAAAAUAAAACAACUGAGAGACAUGUUAAGGAGAGAAGGAGCAACUGCUUGAUUCGGACAAGCUGCCGAGUCCAAAUAACAGCCAAGAGGGAUACAAAUAGGAGGAAAUGGUAUCUGAAGAACGUGCGUCUAGAGCACAACCACGAGCUUCACCCAUCUGAUUGGAUGCUGAAAUUCAUGAGAUGCUAUAAGAAGAUGACACCUCAGGAGAAAUUCUUUAUACAAGUGCUGCAGAAGGCGAGGUUAGAACCAAGGAAGGUUAUGCAAAUUUUUGCUGCCAUGGGGAAAUCGAGGCGAGAAAUUAUGUUCGACACGAUUGACCUAAGCAACAUUGCAUGCCGGGAGAGGACUGGAGAGCGCGGCACUGAUAUCACAGACACCAUGAAACUGUUUGCUGAUAUGCAGAGGCAGAGGCCGGGAUUCCACCAUGUGGAAGAGACAGAGAACAAUAUAGUGCGCAGCCUGUUCUGGACAGACUCCCUGUGUAAGAUGAAUUAUGAUCUAUAUGGAGAUUUCGUGUCUUUUGACACCACAUUCUCUACGAAUAUAUAUGGCUUGCCAUUUGCACCAAUUGUAGGUGUCGACAACCACGGGUCGACCGUCCUAUUUGGGGUAGGCCUUUUGAAGGAUGAGAAAAUAGGGUCGUUCAAGUGGCUCCUAAGCACGUUUGUCGAGGCAAUGGGAGGUAAAGAGCCGAAAUACAUAAUAACAGACCAGGACCAGGCGAUGAAGACUGCAAUAAAGGAAACUCUUCUGAGGACAAGGCACAGGUUCUGCUGGUGGCAUAUUAGGAAGAAUCUGAAGGAAAAUAACGCAGUAGUGUUUGCGCAGCACCCAGGGAUGUCUGAUGAUAUAUUUUGA
Molecule: ribosomal RNA, 1905 nt
Filed under: Triticum aestivum (bread wheat)
Lineage: Eukaryota; Viridiplantae; Streptophyta; Magnoliopsida; Poales; Poaceae
Description: partial small subunit ribosomal RNA
Source: RNAcentral